Molecule: long non-coding RNA, 537 nt
Filed under: Cricetulus griseus (Chinese hamster)
Lineage: Eukaryota; Metazoa; Chordata; Mammalia; Rodentia; Cricetidae
Description: lncRNA (ENSCGRG00015030925.1)
Source: RNAcentral
GGCACCUCACCACAGGGCACCCUCUCCAGAGACCCUUUGCAACCAGGCUGGCUGUUGCUUCAAGGCCAGCAGAAGAAUCACUUCUUUUCAGUUCACCAUGAUAGUCAUAAAUUAUAUUAGCCAGUCAAGAAUGCCGCUUUCCAUAUUCAUCACCUGGUCAUGUUCUCAAGCCUCCAGAUGGUCUCCAAAAGGUACUCUAUUACGUUAGUCCUUGAAUCAAAACGACUAUGGUGGUUCAUUUACAGCAACACCUUCAGACCCAGCCAACAGGGAGGAGUAUCUCUGGACCCUGCAGAUGUGUCUACAUUCACAGCUUCACCACUGAGAACGAACCUGAACACAGCCGUCCACGUCUCUGACUGUAAAGACUGCACAUUUACGAGCGCAGGGUGGGUCAGCACCCUUAGACCGAAGGGCUUCAGCAGGGUGACUCACACCACAUUCAGGGGCAUGUGUGUCAUGAACCGAGGGGACAAAUCAAACCUCUAGACCCCACGGUACAAAAGGAAAACUCACGCGCCUAAACACGUGUGUUUG